CUACCAGGGUUUCUAAUCCUGUUCGCUCCCCACGCUUUCGCUCCUCAGCGUCAGUAACGGCCCAGAGAUCUGCCUUCGCCAUCGGUGUUCCUCCUGAUAUCUGCGCAUUCCACCGCUACACCAGGAAUUCCAAUCUCCCCUACCGCACUCCAGUCUGCCCGUACCCACUGCAGGCGCGAGGUUGAGCCUCGCGUUUUCACAGCAGACGCGACAAACCGCCUACGAGCUCUUUACGCCCAAUAAUUCCGGACAACGCUUGCACCCUACGUAUUACCGCGGCGGCUGGCAC
Molecule: ribosomal RNA, 289 nt
Filed under: uncultured Microbacteriaceae bacterium
Lineage: Bacteria; Bacillati; Actinomycetota; Actinomycetes; Micrococcales; Microbacteriaceae
Description: partial 16S ribosomal RNA
Source: RNAcentral